RNAcentral lists this ribosomal RNA (800 nucleotides) under uncultured bacterium. RNAcentral describes it as "bacterial SSU rRNA". It matches the Rfam family "Bacterial small subunit ribosomal RNA", at positions 66 to 887 of the family's 1533-position model. The record is from RNAcentral.
GCGGGAAGGCUCCUUCGGGAGUACACGAGCGGCGAACGGGUGAGUAACACGUGAGCAAUCUGCCCUUCACAUCGGAAUAACCAUUGGAAACGAUGGCUAAUACCGAAUACGACUUCGGACCGCAUGGUCUGAAGUGGAAAGCUCCGGCGGUGAAGGAUGAGCUCGCGGCCUAUCAGCUUGUUGGUGAGGUAAUAGCUCACCAAGGCGAUGACGGGUAGCCGGCCUGAGAGGGUGACCGGCCACACUGGGACUGAGACACGGCCCAGACUCCUACGGGAGGCAGCAGUGGGGAAUAUUGGACAAUGGGCGAAAGCCUGAUCCAGCAACGCCGCGUGAGGGAUGACGGCCUUCGGGUUGUAAACCUCUUUCAGCGGGGACGAAGCGAAAGUGACGGUACCCGCAGAAGAAGCACCGGCCAACUACGUGCCAGCAGCCGCGGUAAUACGUAGGGUGCAAGCGUUGUCCGGAAUUAUUGGGCGUAAAGGGCUCGUANGCGGUUUGUCACGUCCGGCGUGAAAACUCAGGGCUCAACCCUGAGCGUGCGUCCGAUACGGGCAGACUAGAGGUAUGCAGGGAGAACGGAAUUCCUGGUGUAGCGGUGGAAUGCGCAGAUAUCAGGACGAACACCGGUGGCGAAAGCGUCUCUGGGCAUUACCUGACGCUGAAGAGCGAAAGCAUGUGAGCGAACAGAUUAGAUACCCUGGUAGUCAUGCCGUAAACGCUCGGGCGCUAGUGUGCGACAUUCNUNGUCUGCGUGCCGNNGCUAACCGAUCUAAGCGCCUCCGCCUGGGAGUACNGCN